Lolium rigidum is the source of this 869-nucleotide long non-coding RNA. RefSeq lists it as uncharacterized. The record is from RefSeq and is a predicted model, not a curated record. The transcript is spliced from 2 exons. NCBI's taxonomy places the organism in Eukaryota, Viridiplantae, Streptophyta, Magnoliopsida, Poales, Poaceae.
UAGUAGUACUAUAUGAUCAUUUACAUGAUUAAACUGUAGGUAUAUAUUCAAGCAGUUAUUUACAAGUCAAAUAUCAGUUCUAGAUUUCAUGUUUAUUCAACGGAGUCUUUUCUUUCUCCAUGUUGCAAAGGAGGGGCUUAUGUUGUCUGCUUCUUUAUUUUUGUAUACACUGUCUUCCUUAACAUUCCAAAUUAAAUAAUUUUAGACGCGACGAAAUGCAAGAGAUGCUCUUCAACUUGCUACUACAUCCCAGGAUAUUUCGAAUACAAAAACAUAGCAUGGGAUAUUGGAGACUGGUGGAAUACAAAGAAGAAAUUAUUUUCAUGACCUAACUGGUGAUUGUUUCUUUCCCGUGCCGUUGUGUAUGAGAAGAGACUUGAGAAGAAAACAACGAUGUUGUCAUGGUAUAUUGAUAUACAUCCUGCUCUAGCCACACAUGUUUGCUUCUUAAGGCUCCACGGUCCACAUAUGUCCAUUUAUGAAUUAUAGCAACAUAACAUUCUUUGGAAUAUAGAAAUAGAGCAUGGGAUAUUGGAGACUUCUAGCAGGCAAACGGUGGAUACAGCUGAGCGGCAAGGUACCAGACAAGCCGCUGGACAUGGUGGCCCUGUCGUGGCUGAUGAAGAUUACAUUGAGAAUCAGCACUGGUUUCAGUUAUAUUUCAUCUUCGAUCUAAUUCAAUAGUCGGUAGUCUAUUCAUGUAAUGGCAAAUACCAUUCAGAUCAAGUAAAAAUAGUUAUGUUUCCAAGUCUUGCAUUUAUGGUAAAAGGGUGGCUUCAUCCCCCCACCCCCACACACGCAGAACACACUUUAUUUCUCUGUUUGAGAAGUGAUUAUUUCCAAAAAGGAAGACCUGAAUGAUUGCAAUA